AGCGGUUCUGACGCGGACACAGCGAAAACAACCUCUAGAGGCCCAGCUCCCUAAAACAGCUGAUUCUCAGGUCCAGAACAGGCUCUGUCGGUUGGGAGUAAUGCCCAAACGACGCAGAAUGGGCCGCAGGAUGCAGGAACAUGGCCUGCCUAUAUUCAAUGUAAAGUUAUUUUGGCACUACUGUGAAUUCAUCACUCUAUUCUCCAACAUAGAAAAGUUGCCUCCAAAUAAAUCUAUAGUAACCAAGAAUUCCAACAAAUGUAUCGACCUAAAAAUACCACUGUGUCAAUUUCAC
Phyllostomus hastatus (greater spear-nosed bat) is the source of this 295-nucleotide long non-coding RNA. RefSeq lists it as uncharacterized. The record is from RefSeq and is a predicted model, not a curated record. NCBI's taxonomy places the organism in Eukaryota, Metazoa, Chordata, Mammalia, Chiroptera, Phyllostomidae. The transcript is spliced from 3 exons.